CGUUACAACAUUUUAUAUUUACAUAAUUUUUUAAAAAGUUUAAAAACAAAAACGAAAAACGUGUAUAUAUGUAUACUACAUUUUUUUUUAGCAUACUUUUGUUUAAGCAUUAUGGAAAUAAAAACAAGGAUAUAGUCUAACACUUCAUCACAUAAAUAUAUAUAUGUAUACUCAUACGUCAGUGUAAAAAAGUGUACUGUAGACAUUUAAGAACUUGAAGAGAAGAAAAUAAAAAAAUUUCUAAAAAAUAAACAAGUAUAAUUAUAAGUUUUGGCUUUAUAGUUUAUUGCUUUUGCUUUGUUUAAUUGACCACUGAAAAGUUUUACAGAUGUACAUUUACUCGUUGUUAACAUAUGUACGUAUGCAUGUAUGCAAGUGCAUAUAUAUAUAUAUAUAUAUGUAUAUAUAUGCUUAUAUAUGUACAUUGUUUAUGUGUGUAUAUGUACAUUUGUUUUACUUCUAAUAUAAAACUUAUAAAUAAAUAUAAAAAAAAUCACGGUUUAACAUAAUUGCAAAAAAAAAAACUAAAAUCUCUUAAAGGAACAAUACUAUAAAAGAAAAUACCACGAAACGGAAUAUUUUCAUAUGAAUGCCUAAUAUAUAGACGCAAAUACGAAUAUAUACAUAAAACAAAUUUUACACCACUAUUUACUACUAUUGCUCUUAACUUUAUUUUUACAAUUUCGUGUAAAUAUCAUGGGUUUAUCAGAAAACCCCAAGCUUUUUUUGCUAGGCAAAAAAUUGAUUAAAUAUAGAAAAAUUAUAGGAAUCACAGUUUCAAUUUUAGGUUUUGUUUAUUUUUGUUUUUUUCACAAGAUUAACAAAGAAGCAGUGUUAGAUGCACGGAUGUUUAGCUUGUAUCCUGGUAGUUCCGUUUUAAACGUGUCAGAUGAAGAGUUUAUGCAAAAAGUAAAUAGUUAUUUUUUAAAUUACGAUUAUAAAGAAGAUGAACAUAUAAUAGAUAUAAUACAGAGUUAUAUUGAAAGUAUAUCUUUAUUAACUCAAGUAGAAAAACAUAAAAUAAAAGUAAAUGACUUGGUUGAUGAUUAUAUAUUAGUUAGUAAUGUUGCUUGUAAAUUUUGUAAUACUUUAGAGAAUUUAAUAGUUGUAAUAAAUUUUUACUACAAUGAAAGGCAAUAUUUUCAUGCUGUGAAUGUUGGAUUAACAUUGAUAAAUCAUUUUUCAAAUUGUAACUAUCUGAGUAAAGAUGUAACAUUUUUAUUUAUUAACAGAGCAUUACCAUAUUCAUUAGGAAUACAGAAAUUUAUUGAAUUAUAUUUUUAUAAUAACAAUUAUAAUCAAAAUGGCAUUUUUAGAGGAGCAGUGAUAAUAGAAUUUGAUCAUAUGUAUGCAUCACAGAUACAAAUAAAUUAUGAAGGCUUAAAUGGAAUAUUACCUAAUCAGGAUAUGAUUAUUUUACUAACAGAAGAGUUAUUUGAAUAUAAUAUCCCUACGAAAGUACAACCAGUCUAUAACGUAAUAUAUGAUAUGGCUUUUGAAAAAUCCCAUGAAAAAGGACAUAUACAUUUUUUAAGGUAACUUAUACAGUUG
Molecule: long non-coding RNA, 1551 nt
Organism: Piliocolobus tephrosceles (Ugandan red Colobus)
Lineage: Eukaryota; Metazoa; Chordata; Mammalia; Primates; Cercopithecidae
Source: Ensembl